Molecule: ribosomal RNA, 459 nt
Filed under: uncultured bacterium
Lineage: Bacteria
Description: partial 16S ribosomal RNA
Rfam family: Bacterial small subunit ribosomal RNA
Source: RNAcentral
CCUACGGGAGGCAGCAGUGAGGAAUAUUGGUCAAUGGUCGGGAGACUGAACCAGCCAAGCCGCGUGAGGGAGGAAGGUACAGAGUAUCGUAAACCUCUUUUGUCAGGGAACAAAGACUGGGACGCGUCCCCGGAUGAGUGUACCUGAAGAAAAAGCAUCGGCUAACUCCGUGCCAGCAGCCGCGGUAAUACGGAGGAUGCGAGCGUUAUCCGGAUUUAUUGGGUUUAAAGGGUGCGCAGGCGGUCUGUUAAGUCAGCGGGCAAAGCCCGGGGCUCAACCCCGGCCCGCCGUUGAAACUGGCAGUCUCGAGUUGGAGAGAAGUAUGCGGAAUGCGCGGUGUAGCGGUGAAAUGCAUAGAUAUCGCGCAGAACUCCGAUUGCGAAGGCAGCAUGCCGGCUCCACACUGACGCUGAGGCACGAAAGCGUGGGUAUCGAACAGGAUUAGAUACCCGUGUAGUC